Long non-coding RNA from Aegilops tauschii subsp. strangulata, 5081 nucleotides. RefSeq lists it as uncharacterized. NCBI's taxonomy places the organism in Eukaryota, Viridiplantae, Streptophyta, Magnoliopsida, Poales, Poaceae. The record is from RefSeq and is a predicted model, not a curated record.
GAAGGGAGUCACCUGAGCUAUGUGAGUCGUGGGCUGAGGAGGAGGUCGCUUUUCCCGAUCCAUCCCGGAGGGUUUUCCCCUCUCUCGCCCCAUGAUCCUUACCCAUUUUUGCUAUCGACUCAGCCCUAUCUAUUCAUCUCUCUUUUUUUACAUGAAGUUUUUUGUUCUCUUGUUCAUAGAUCUUGAAAGAGGAUCAAUAGAGAUUUAUCAAAGGAUCUAUCAAUAGAAAGAUCUACAAUCUCUAUCAUGAACGUUUUCAACCGGAUAUUUGUGAAAUCUUUAGUUAAGGGGUGCCUCUUGCAAAGGUCACUACCUCACCUUCUCUGGUUUGACAAGUGGCUUGUCGCAACCUGUGAGUCUCCCUUUUUCAUAAUUUCGUUUUUUGAAUAUUUAAUCUCUUGAACCAUGUGUCCAAAUACCGAAUUGUUUUCAUCGUUGGAUUUCCCGCCUUGAGAUCUUCGAAACUAUAUCCCAGGUUAAUAUAUUUCCACGAUUUUUUCGACAAAAAACUAAAAAUAAAAAAACCUUUAAAUCCAAAAAAUGAAUACCAAAAAACAAAAAAUUUGAAACCCCCCAAAAAACUGGUUCGUGCAAAAAAAAUGGCGAAUACCGAAAAAGGAAGAAAAAUAUUGAAUCCUGGAAGAACGGUUUGCGGUUUUGCACUUUGCUUGAAGGACAGGCUAUGUUUUUCCUAUAUAUUUUUUUGGAGAAGCACAACUUCUCACAUAAGCAAAUAUGUGCUUCGCGUGGAAGAACAUAUUUUUUCCCAAGAAGCACUGCACGGAAGCAAAUCCGUGCUUCCAUGAGAAGCAUUUGCUUCUCGUGGAAUCACAAAUUUUCUCCCUGAGAACACAAGUAUGUGCUUCUCGUGGAACACAAUUUUUUUUGUGUUUCGCAGAUAAAAAAACUUCAAAACCUACCCCUUCCAAAACAAACUCAUCUACAAAUGGAAAAUGUACUCUAAAAAUAUACAAAUGGAAAAUGUGUAAGAAAAAAAUGAAAUCCAAAGAGAGGGUCUAGCACGCGACAUGUCACGACCGUUAGACGCAUCUGCUCCCGCAUAUUGGCUGUCUAAUUCGGUAUGGGCCACAUCUGCUGAUGCUUGGGCCUAAUGUCGGCCGCUUGUAGAGAGGAAAAUUUAAAGCCCUCUGGUCAACUGGGCCUCUAGACAGCCCAUUUAACUAACCGAGCCACGGUCCAUAACAGUUCGGCCUUAGCUUCCUCCCCUCGGAGAAAGCGGACGAGGGGAUCAAUCGGUCGUUGCGCUCCUCCCACCCCCUUGGAAAAAGCUCGAUGCACCCCCAAAAAAAAAAACUCGAUGCGGUCGUCGGCGAGGUUGCGGGGCAGAGCCCAGCCGGCGGAGGCGACGCGGGCGUUGUGGUUUCGCCAUCCCGGUCGCGGGCCAACUCCGUGCGGUAGAGGUUGGUUGGGGCCUCCCGGACCGCACGCCGAUGUAGAUCGACGCCAAUCGUAGUUUGGCUACUCGGCUGUUCGUCGAGCGAAACUGCUCCGCGGUUUGAACGAAGCAAUCAUUCCUCGCUUUCGGGAGGAAUCCAUGGCGGAAUGCGGAUGAUGCGGCCCCCUUGCCGGCGGUGAUUAAUGCAGUAUUCAUACUGCUGUGGUCAAUUGAUUCGGCCAGAUCUUUGGAGAUUGGUUAUCACAUUUUUUUUUACUCUCUGGACAGCGAGUGAUGUUCCAAAUUGGCAUUCUUCAUCAGAACUAAGGUAUAAGGCGCGCCUUCAAAACAAGGGAACAGUAAGUUGCCAAGUAACAUGUAUCAAAGAAAUGGAAUGGUUAGCUUCUGUACUUCUUCAAGAAUUUCUGAAAGGAUAUAAUAAACAGGUACCAUGUUACAAAGUUCCCUUUAUUGAUAUCGUUGCAAUCUUUCGCAGCGUGUUAGCCACCUUAUUCUACCAAUAUAUGUUCCAGAAUUACUCGGACCAGUUUGUGUUUAGAUGAGUGUUCCUUUCCUAUUUGCAAUGUUCAUGAUAUCGGUAACUGGUACCGUAACGUUCGGGUGCUGAGUAGGGAUAAAUAAGCGAAUUUUCCAGUUAUUCGGCCGAUAAAUCAGUUAAUCGUCUUUUCGGUGACCCACCGAGUAACGAUUAACUCACUGAGAUGCCGAUUAACUAUCCGAUAUUUGGAACAAUUCCUAUUCAAUUGACUCCGUGAAUAUUUUUAAUGUAUCGGAUAUAAACAGCAAAGUACUUAGAUACCUGAUGUGGCAUAGGUCACAGGUUAUGUACUCUUGUACUACUACUAUAGGUUCUGCUAUUUUACACACAACUAUCUAUGAACAUACUUGCACAUCCAUAUCUAAUGUCAGAUAAAUAUAUAUGCUCAUUUUCCGUUGUUUUAAGGCUCAUCCUCAGGUUCAUUACAUCGAACCAGAUGGUUGCAAUAAUCUCCAUUAUGAACAAUUGUUGGUGUGUUCAUGCUGAUGCUUGGAGAAAUAAAUCAUUUUUCUAAGCUUUGGUUCUUAUUUGUAGAAGUUGGACGCUUAAUUAGACAUCCCUCCUAUAAAAAUGAAUAUUGAUGCUUAAAAAAUACUCGGUUUCUUUAACUAAGCACCUUGCAUUGUAUAAGGCAGUGGUGCGGUUGGCGAUCCUGCACCCGUCAAUACAUAUUCUACGGCCAACUAGCCAAAAUUAACACUAAUGGCUAUUGUCUACUUUUUUUUUGAGGGAAAUGGCUAUUGUCUACUAAUCUGCCUAUGCUGAUGGAGGGCCGGGCCAAGGCAUGUGCAGCCUGUGCUGCCCGGACAGGGCCCCAAGUUUAUAGGGGCCCCGAAUUUCAUAGGCAGCACAUAGGCCCAUCCAUCAAGCGAACCUCUCGUGCAGGAAAAAACAGCCCAUAUGCCCAGCAAUCUCACAGACAGAUCAGCAAAAAGGUAAUGCGAUUUAUUCACUACUCCCAGAUUUCGAACCCGCAACCCCGCUCAGUAAAAAAGCUGCGGCAACCAAGCCAGUUGUUGAAGUUUUCUACUUUUAUACAGGAAUAAAUUUUAUAAGUACUCCCGCCUCAGUAUAUAAGUCACUGAGGUGCACGCUUCCUGCCAUUUAUGGAUAUAUUUUCCAAAAUGCCUCUUGGAAGCGUUUUUGUUUGAUGGAUUAAGACAUCUCAAACGCCUUAGUAUAUCCAAUAAGCAUAAUGGGAAAACACCUUUUUUUGCCAUUUUCAUCAAAAUGCCUAAAAGGAAAUCUAUAUGAAGAUUUUAGGCACAUAUCCUGCACAUGGAUGACGACUAGGUCCAGCGCCACAAGCGCAGCGGAUGUUCUUUUGUAACGAGGUAGGCCCAUCUUAGAGUUUGGCACAGGGCCUUGAUUUUGCCGGCCCGGCCUAGAUUGUUAAUUAUGACCGUAGCUAGCUUUUUUCACCUAUGUACUUCCUCCGUCCCAAAAUAAGUGUCUUGUACUAAGCUUAGGACACCUAUUUUGGGACAGAGGGAGUACUAAACUACUAAUAAUAUGCGUUUAGUAAAUCUCCCUCAGCCCUCAUCUUAUACAUGUCAAAAUUGUACAACCAUUUGUAGUUCUUUUGAUUGUGCGAUCGGUGACGCUAAUUUUGGAACUUGCAGUUAUGAAAGGGAAUUAGCAGUUAUGUUCUCUUCUCAUGAAUUUAUAAAUAUUUGAUCUUAUGGUAAGUCAUAGUGGCAUAUACAAAUGUAGCUGUAUUCCUAUAACGCCAAAGGGGCACAUUAUCGUUACAUUUUAUGAUAAUUAUUUUUCUGCACCGGCCUAUUAUUUUUAUCAACUAGGUUUGGCCUUUGCCAUACUCAAAUCCUGGUUGCGCCACUGGGUCGAGCGGGCAGGCGGGAGAGCGGCCACAACGUUGUUUUGGCUACUCUUGGUUAUCGUCCGCUCUUCCUAGAUCCAUGUGGUUCCUCAGAGAGCUCCGGGUGGACGUCGGCUUCGUCAUCAUCGGUGGACAGUGACACCACCCGAUGGCUAGCCAAGUUCCAAUCUCUCGCUUACCUUAGUUGAUAGGUUUUGGCGAAGUAUUUUUAAGUGAAAUUUGUGUUCCCAGCUAGUACUAAUAUGUGUUCCUAAUGUGAAAACUUGUGCUCAAAACUAAUAUGUGCUUCCAACAUGUGCUCCUAACUAUUACAGCUUAUAGUUAUGAAAGGGAGUACUAACUUAUGUGCUUUCAACCACACCAAGAUGUGUCCUUAGCGUGAACCUCCUUCAACGUGAACUAACAUGGUCUCCCACAAUUGUGCUUCGAGAAACACAUAUGUGCCUCCAACGUAAACUAACCCAUGCUCUCACCUACGACACGUGGUGGUGCUGAGAUUUGCCACAUGGAGCGCUCUAGCGCUCCCACCGUGGCAGUAAUGCAAAGCGGGUUGUUCCAUCCGGCACAAACCAUCUACACCACACUAGGCAGGAUGAUGAGAAUUUAAUGGAUGACCCAGUUGAUGAAGAAGAAUAAAAGGUGUUGCAUAUAUACCAAGUCAGUCCUCACGGGCUGACUCUACCGCACUUCAAAAAACUAUUCAGGACUUUGGGCUUGAGAUAGUGGAGCACGAUCUCCUUGUCCGUGGGGCGAAAUCUGAAUCCUGGUACUAGCCACCAUGGUGUACUACUUGUCUCAUCAACUUCAGUAGACGUCUCGGUUGCUUGCUCGUCGGAUACAUCACUAUGUUCCGUUGUAAUCGAGCUAUUCAUGCUAUCAGAAUCGACAAUGUCGUCGUUGUUGCUACUCGGUUGCUCUACGGCCGAGCUAGUCAAGUCAUCGCUGCUGCCACCAAGCUGUGUUGACGAUGACACCAUGGUACUGUUCCAAGUCGUCAUUGUCGCGCUGCAAUGCGUGACGAUAUUGCUAUCAGAACACACAAUGUUCUGACCAGGACAUGAGUCUUCGUCUUUUCUAAAGAUUUUGUUGGUCGAAUCUUUGAAUGUUCGCUCUAUCCAAUCGGGUGAAUCGUUGUCACUGUUGCCACCAAGCUGGGUCUGCAUUGUCGAUGAUGCCAGGGUACUGUUCUCCAUGGGUCGAUGCAACAAAAAUUCUGCCGACCUCGUUAAAGCCGUCAUUGUUGAACUGCAUUGCGCGUUGGUGUGGCUGUCGGAACAUACACUGCU